GUAACGGUGAUGGAAGAAUGUAAUAGAGUUGAAGAUGCAGAGGAGGGUGAGAUCUCAGAUUCGGCUUCAGUUGAAGAAAUCAGUGAGGAUGCGUUCAAUAGACAAGACCCACCUACUACUAGUACUACUUCCAAGAUUAAGAUUGCGAGUAAUGAAAAUCAAAAUCAGAAUUCGACGACUGCGACUAGGGUUUGGACGAUGAGAGAUGUAUAUAAAUAUCCAAUUUCUAGGGAUUAUGCUAGAGGUUU
RNAcentral lists this unclassified non-coding RNA (248 nucleotides) under Hevea brasiliensis (rubber tree). Lineage: Eukaryota; Viridiplantae; Streptophyta; Magnoliopsida; Malpighiales; Euphorbiaceae. The record is from RNAcentral.